GAUGAUUUUUGUUGUUGUUGAAUUUUAUAUCAAAAAUUAUAAAGCCUUUUCACUUUCUAGACAAUUUAUUUCUACUCUAUUAAUUCCAAGUAUCCUUUCUUUUACACUUACACUCUUUAUGACCUUCACCUAUGUGCACUUUGUUAUCACCUUACGGUGUCAGGUCAAUCAAACCUGAUGACAAAAAGCUGAGAUCAACCUUUAAUCGGCUCUAGACGCGUCUUGUGUAUCUACAUCUCUACAUUUACCUGCUUAUGCACGGAUCUUCAGUGUAUUUACGGUUCUAUCUCCGUGUUUAUUUAUGUGUACAUUUAUUAUGUGGAUCUGUAUAUUUGUAAAGAGCAGCAAAUUGUUACAUCCCUUGGAUCAAGUAAACCUUACAAAUAUUAAAUAUCACCAAUCUUUUUUUUUACUUAACAAAAAAGGAUCCUCUAAAAGAUCUCAAGUUAAGUUAACAUUUAAUCCUCAUCGAUCACUUUUAUCAUAACCAUUUGGAGUUUUUCAAGAUGAAAUAAACUAAAUCAUCGAAAAUAUCACAAGCAUCAAAAAAGGACCAAAUAUGAUGAUGAUGAUGAUGAGGAUGAAGAAGAAAAAAAUAAAUAACAAAAUAUAACUAAAAAGGAUGCUUUUCCCUACUAAAAAUCUCAACUUUUACUUAAUAAUCAGAGCAACAACACAAACAACAACUAGACUUUCUCGAAAACUUUUUCAUCAUUAUCUUCAUCUUUUCUCAUUCUUUCCCUUUCUUUUAUCCACCCUUAUCUUCACCCACCCACCAUGUUUCUUGAAAGAAAUCACUUAUACUCUACUUCAUCCAUCACAAGCUUAAUUUUCCGUGCAAUUCCGAUUGAUUUUCAAAUAACCAAUGUUUCUGUUUCAGGGUAUAAUACUUUUGCUUCUUCAACCAUCUAACUCAUUUUUAUAAACUUAUUAUCAACAGACUAAUCACCAUCAUAAUUAUCAAUAAUCAUUUGAUCAACUUUGGUAACUAUAAGGAGGCUGGAAAAGAUAAUUACUCGGAAUUUGCACCUCAACUUGGAAAUCUUGUCCAACUGAAUGGAAAUUAACCCGAUAUAAAUCGAUACAACCCAAUACAACCCAUUAUUCAAGCUUCUCUGUCUUCUGGCUUAUGUACAAUGGUUUUAUAAAUGAUCAAGAUUGGAGUUUUUUUGGAAUAUCAUGAACCAGUUGAAUCAACGAAUGAUUGUUACAUGGAUUGGUUUUGAUUCUUGUUUGAGUUAAACUUGAAUACAGAAGACGGAAAAAAACUGAAGCUGAAAAAUUGUCAAGGGAUGUACAUUACGAUGAAUUGGUCCUGAUUUGACUUGAAAUUUGCUUCAAGGAAAACUUUGACUUUUCAUAUGAUCGAUUGAAGAUCAAUUGUAAAUGUCAUUUGAUCUCUUCUGAUUUAAAUCUGUCUUAGCAUCAUCAUCAUCAUCAUCAUCUACUUCUCUCUUCCUUUUCAAGUCUUAUUCAAGUCUUAAUCAAUUCAACAUGUCUUUGGUAUUACAUUCAAAUGAUUUUACCAAUUGGUUAAUGUAUUCGUCAACACUUAAUCAAUGAGAAUCUUGUUGAAAGGCGAAAAUGUGGUAAAUCUACAGAAUUUUUUGCUGUUGGUUUACUUUGAAUCAUUUGCAGACCUUUGGACAGCUGACGAGGCUAAUGGCUUAAACAGUUUAACUGAUUAACAUCAAACGAGUUGACAAUUUGAAGGCAAUUUAAAGGCUAAUUAGCAGACAGGAAAUUAUUAAUCAUUUGCAAAUAAUUUAAGAAUUAGCUUUCAUUUUUGUAUUUGGCUAUUGCAAUAUUUAACAUGGAGCAUCAAACAGUUAUCAAAAACAGCUUUCAAGAUCAAGCCAAUGAACCAGAUUAAGACGGAACCCACUCAAGUUAAACCUGAUUUCACUUAAAUCACAGAUUAAGGCUGGAUCCAAAUUUUGUCAAAUCAAAUGUGUUAACUUGUAAACAAAAGGUGAACAAAAAGUUGAAAUUAACUUGAUUCGAGCUAAUGGUUUAUUUACACAAAUGUUGGAUGCAAAAAAAACCAAAUGAAGAAUGGAAAUGAUGAGGAUUCAGAGAGAGAUAAAAGGAACUUCUACUGAAUCUUGCUCAUCUUCAAUCAAUCCCAAGAAUUGAAUGAGAAGACGUUGUUUCUAAUCAGUCACAAUUAGAUGGUGUUUAUGAGUAAAGUACAGAAAAAAAUCAAACUAACUCAAUCACUAAUCAUAUAAUCAGCGUCUCAUAUAUAAAAAAACGUUGUUACCUUUGAAACAAAUGAAAAAAAUAAACUCAGUAAUGACUUUAAUCAGGUAAAAGUGCAAAUCAGGUCACACUUUUGAUUGAGAAGUUAAUUGAAAAUUUAAUUUGAAAUAAACAACAGCAAAUGACUCAAGUCAA
This is a non-coding RNA of Tetranychus urticae (two-spotted spider mite), 2397 nucleotides long. NCBI's taxonomy places the organism in Eukaryota, Metazoa, Arthropoda, Arachnida, Trombidiformes, Tetranychidae. The record is from RefSeq and is a predicted model, not a curated record.